UACCAGCACCCCGAGUGGUCGGGACGAUUAUUGGGCCUAAAGCAUCCGUAGCCGGUUCUACAAGUCUUCCGUUAAAUCCACCUGCUUAACAGAUGGGCUGCGGAGGAUACUAUAGAGCUAGGAGGCGGGAGAGGCAAGCGGUACUUAGUGGGUAGGGGUAAAAUCCGUUGAUCCAUUGAAGACCACCAGUGGCGAAGGCGGCUUGCCAGAACGCACUCGACGGUGAGGGAUGAAAGCUGGGGGAGCGAACGGG
RNAcentral lists this ribosomal RNA (253 nucleotides) under uncultured bacterium. RNAcentral describes it as "partial 16S ribosomal RNA". It matches the Rfam family "Archaeal small subunit ribosomal RNA", at positions 474 to 727 of the family's 1478-position model. The record is from RNAcentral.